Choloepus didactylus (southern two-toed sloth) is the source of this 1402-nucleotide long non-coding RNA. RefSeq lists it as uncharacterized. The transcript has 4 exons. The record is from RefSeq and is a predicted model, not a curated record. Lineage: Eukaryota; Metazoa; Chordata; Mammalia; Pilosa; Megalonychidae.
GGUGGUGGAGGGACCGAGCGGGAGGCGGUGGGGGGUGUGUUGCUCUGGCUCUCCCCUGCUUUCUCCGGACACGGGUUUUAGAGCUGCUGUGUUAACCAUCAACGAUUAGUGAGUGGAAUUAGACAUUGCCCUGCCUUUAGAGAACCUGUGGGGAGACUGAGAAGUACACAGACCAUCUGAACAUGUCACGAUAAUUCUAUGCAUGGUAUGGGGACACAUGAGUUGGGCAACCAACCUGUUUGGAGUGGCCACAGGAAAAGGAGAGGGAAAAGGAGAAGAGCUGAAGAUUGAACUGAGACUUGAAAACUGGACAGAACCAAGGUAUUUAGCCAGAAGAGGGGUAAGGGAGAUCAUCACAUAAUGUUUUCUUCUGCUUAAGGGGAAAAUGGGGUUAUCAUCCUAGAAUCAUUAUUCUCAAGUUUACACCUGCUUACUCUCAGGACUAUGGAUUUGAUGGAGUUUGCUCCUGUAAUUAGGUGAUAUUACACGGCACGGUUGACUUUAAGAAAAGAGAUUAUCUAAGUGGACCAAACCUAAUGACACGAACCCUUUAAAAGCAGAGUCUUCUCUGGCUGGAAGCAGCAGAGGUCAGAGAUUCGAAGUGCAAGAAGGAUUUGAUGCACUGUUGCUGGGUUGAGAAUAGAGAAGGUUUUGUGGAAAGGACCUGGGAGCAGCCACUAGGAGCUUAGAGUGACCCUCAGCUAAUAGCCAGAAAACAAGGACUUCAGUCCUGCAACUGAAAGGAACCAAAUCCUGCCUGCAGGAAUGGGUUUGGAAGCAGAUCCUUCCCCAGAGCUUCCAGAUGAGAACUGAGCCCGGCCAACAGCUUGAUUUCAGUCUUGUGAUUCCCUACGCAGAGAGCUCAGCCAUGCCAGACCAUGCUGCUUACCCACAGAACUGGGAGCCAAUAAAAAGGAGCUGUUUAAGCUGUUAAUUAUGUGGUGAUUUGUUAUGCAGCAAUAAAAAAUUAAUGCACUCUACUUUUUCUGCUAAAUCUUCAAGAUUGGGACAAGUCUUUUACUGUUCUGGUCUUAAUUUUCAUUUGAAAGAGGAUUAGAUAUGAUCUCUAAGGGCCCUUCCGGCUCAGAUUAGAUGAUUGUAAGAUUCGUAGAAAGAUGUUUCUGUAAGGACUGGAAGAAAAUAAAAUAGCAUGUGAAAGCACUUUUAUCUUGAGGAAACAUUACACAAAUGAAAGGGAAUAUUAUUUAAUCAAGCAAUGUUUCUAGACAUCUGAUGGCCUCUUGGGAUCUUAGGGAUAGUUUCUCUUACAUAUUUUAAGGCCACAGCUAUGGAUAUGUGGGGAAGACACAGAAUUUCUCUCUGACUCCUGAAGGCUGCCCCGUCAACAGUGCAAGGAGGGACGGCACUUGAGUUCAACGUCCUGAGUGCGCACGAGAAGGGC